CAUUUAAAAAAAUAUAUAUAUUAUUAUUUAAUUCCUCCUUUAUAACUAAAGCCUCUUUUAUAACGCCCAUAGUACAGACCCUAUACACAUACACACACCAUACUACUGUCCUUAUAAACAAACAUACACACACACACACACACACGUUCACCACGCCCUAUAUACGCACGAUACACCCUCUAGACAUCAAAAUAUUACCCUCUAGACACACAUACACAACAGUCCCAACACACAUAACAGCCCAUAAACAAAUGCAUAUGCUACAUCCUCUAGACACACACACACUACAG
Non-coding RNA from Pelobates cultripes (western spadefoot toad), 290 nucleotides. The record is from the annotation of a GenBank genome assembly. Lineage: Eukaryota; Metazoa; Chordata; Amphibia; Anura; Pelobatidae.